RNA transcript from Melospiza melodia melodia, 7901 nucleotides. It is a transcript of the gene named ZFP64 zinc finger protein, with no coding region annotated. The record is from RefSeq and is a predicted model, not a curated record. NCBI's taxonomy places the organism in Eukaryota, Metazoa, Chordata, Aves, Passeriformes, Passerellidae. The transcript has 8 exons.
CAUGAACCGCGGCGGGGCGGGGGCGGCGCCCGCCUUCCCCGGCCCCGUGCAGUUCCCCGGCAGCACCACGGUGCUGGUGGAGCUGACCCCCGACAUCCACAUCUGCGGCAUCUGCAAGCAGCAGUUCAACAACCUGGACGCCUUCGUGGGGCACAAGCAGAGCGGCUGCCAGCUCACCAGUGCCACGGCCGGUGCCACCAGCACCGUCCAGUUCGUGUCCGAGGAGACCGUGCCCAGCACACAGGCUCAGAGCAGCAGCAGGACCAUCGCCUCCGAGACACAAACCAUCACAGUUUCUGCCCCAGAGUUUGUUUUUGAGCAUGGCUACCAAACCUACCUGCCCAGCGAGAGCACGGAGCCUCCAGCUGCUGCUGUCAUCUCCACACCACCAAAAGCAAGGUCCAAGAAAUCUUCCUCCUCCUCCCUGCCCCUGAAGAAACUCAGCUGCCUGUACCCAGGGUGCCAGUUCAAGACUUCCUAUGGUAUGAAGGAUCUGGAACGUCAUCGGCGAACGCACACAGGAGACAAGCCCCACAAGUGCGAGGUGUGCAGCAAGUGCUUCAGCCGCAAGGACAAGCUGAAGAUGCACAUGCGCUCGCACACGGGCGUGAAGCCCUACAAGUGCAAGCACUGCGAGUACGCGGCGGCCGACAGCAGCAGCCUCAACAAGCACCAGCGCAUCCACUCCAACGAGCGCCCCUUCAAGUGCCAGAUCUGCCCCUAUGCCAGCCGCAACUCCAGCCAGCUCACCGUGCACCUGCGCUCGCACACAGGAGAUGCCCCUUUCCAGUGCCAGCUGUGCCCCGCCAAGUUCAAGAUCAACUCGGACCUGAAGCGGCACCUGCGGGUGCACUCGGGGGAGAAGCCCUACAAGUGCGAGUUCUGCGAGGUGCGCUGCGCCAUGAAGGGCAACCUGAAAUCCCACAUGCGCAUCAAGCACAGCACGGAGAACACCCUCAAGUGCCCCGAGUGCGACUUCCAGUGCGGCAACAAGACCAGCCUGCGGCACCACAUCCGCAGCCACCAGCCCGAGCAGCCCGUCAAGUGCUCCGAGUGCAGCUACUCGUGCUCCUCCAAGGCGGCCCUCAAGGUUCACGAGCGCAUCCACGGCAAGGAGCGGCCCUUCAAGUGCGACCUGUGCAGCUUCGACACCAAGCAGCGCAGCAACCUCACCACCCACGUCCGCAAGGCCCACGGCGACAGGGCCAAGGGCGGCAAGCGCUCGCCGGACAAGAAGGAAGGGGAGAGGCCGAAGCAGGGCGGCUCCAGGCAGGUCGCCAAGCUGGACGCCAAGAAGGCCUUUAAGUGCGACCUGUGCGACGCGUCCUUCGUGCGGGAGGACUCCCUGCGCAGCCACAAGAAGCAGCACAGCCUGUACAGUGGCUCCAAGAACGGCGAGCUGGCCGUGCUGCAGCUCCAGAUGGAUGCCGGCCGCCAGCCCGGCGCCCCCAUCACCGUCAGCCACCUCCAGGUGCCGCUUCAGGCCGCUCAGGUGGCCCCGUACAACGAGGGCAGAGUCAAGAUCAUCGUGGGCCACCAGGUGCCUCCCCAGGCCAACAGCAUCGUGCAGGCGGCCUCGGUGAACGUGGUGCCGCCGGGGCUGCUGGGCGCGGGCCAGGAGGAGGUGCUGGGCGGGGGCCGCCUGCAGCUGCUGGGCCAGGUCAGCGUGCUGGCCCCGGCCACAGGGAGCACAGGGGACACGGGCCCGGGGGCAGAGCCGGCCGUGCUGCUGACCGCCCACGAGCAGGGCGAGGGCACCGCCCUGCACCAGGCCCUGCUCCCCGGGGCCGCCCCCGGCCAUGAGCCCCCUGCCGGCCAGGCCUUCAUCGCCGGCUCCGGCAUCAGCUGCUCCGACCUGGAGGGGCUCAACGCCCUCAUCCAGGACGGGGCAGCGGAGGUGACCGUGGUCAGCGAUGGUGGGCAGAGCAUCACCGUGUCCACGGCUGCUCCUCCUCCCCCCAUCUUCUCGUCCUCAUCCCACUCUGAGGGCCCCAAGCAGAGCUACUCCAUCAUCCAGAGCGGGGCUCACACAGCCCUGCUGUGUCCUGCAGACUCCAUCCCUGAUUAGGGGCUGCUCUGGGCAGGGCGGUGUUCUGGACUCAGGGGCUGCUCUGGGCACUGCUCUCUCCAGGGGCAGUGCUGAGAGACUGAACACAGGAUUUGUCCUCCAGAGCCAAAUACCUUCCACGCUGUGUUUGUCUGUACACUGAAGCAUCUCGUGUGUGAGGAGGAGGAGGAGGAGGAGGGUUUGUCUGUAUUUCUGUAUUUCUGUGCCUCUGCUGGAGUCAGAGGCCCUGCUCCUUGGGAAGCAGCUGCUGCCAGUGUCCCCCAGCAGUGACACCCCCGGCUAUGGCUCCUAUACUGUGCUGCCUGAAGAAGAAAUCCUCUGCUUGUGCUGAAUUACCUCCAGAGCAGCCCUGUUGUUUGAUGCACAGAUGAAAAGACAAUAACCUGAGCCCUUGUGGAGUUUGCUGGACUGAGGUCUCGGUUCUGGCUCUGUGUGCAUUCAGUGCUCCUGGCUGGGCUCUGAGGAACCUCACUGCUGCUCCAGCCCAGGUGAAAUCCGAAGGGCUGCUCCUCAGUAUCUGUAGAAUCAGUAGCCCCUGGCACUUGAGAUGCUGGUGCAGAGAGCAGCAGAAAUUCAGGUCGGAUCACAAGGAGAUGAACCAUCCCAGGAGGGAGCCUGGUAAUUCAGAACAAGUGUCUCCUGUAGAGCUCUCCUGCUUCUGAGCACAUGGUAAAUAAAUCCCAUCCCUCCCUCCCUGAGGUCUGCCACGGCCUCAGAGCUCUGGAGCAGGCUGGCUCUUUCCAGGACCAAAUACUGGCAUGGAUUUUUGUUCCUGCUGCCUGGAGAUCCCUAAGCUCCCCUGGUAAGUGCUGGGCCCAGGAGCAAAGCUCAGUGUUCCAGUGCUGCCCACCCAGCACAGCCCUGGCUCCCAAGGGAAGUGUAAAUUUGGAUAUCCCACCCCAGAACAGCCCUGGCUCCCAAGGGAAGGGACAAUCUGGAUAUCCCACCCAGCACAGCCCUGGUUGCUAGAGGAAGGUAUAAAUGUGGAUAUCCCACCCAGCAUAGCCCUGGUUCCUAGAGGCACGUGUAAAUUUGGAUACCCCACCCAGCACAGCCCUGGCAGGCUCUGCUCUCUGCCCAGGUUUUUCCCAGGUUUCCUCAGGGCUGUGUGGGUUUAUGGUGUGUCACAGCCUCCCUCCUCUCUGAGGAUGAACUUCAGCCUGCUCAGAGAUCUGAGGUUAAACUGGGCGGGCAGAGGUGCAAAACCUGUGUGCAUUUCCAACAAACCAACCCCAGCCCUUUGGGGUUUGCUGCUGUUCCUGACGCUGCUUUUUAAAGCCAGACCCGGUUCCACAUAGCUGAUCCUCCAGCAGACCUGCUGAAAUGUGCUUUUCUGCUGUGCUUUUGUGAGGCAGGAACACAACAGGAAAAAAUGCUGAAGAAUAAUGUGUUGGGACCCCUUUAACUGUGGUUUGGGGAGGCUGGUUCUGACUGAGCCCCAGCUCAGUGUUCCUAGUGGGGUUUGAACAGCAUGGGAUUAAACCUUAUCAGUGGUGCUGUAUCUUUUAGGUGGUUUUGAUAAAAACUUUAUUUGCAUCAAAAUGGGAGAUUCCUGCUCCAAACCAGCCUCAGGUGUCCCAUGCAGGGGGGAUUCCUUGAUAUGCCCAGGAAGCACUCCUGGCUGAGGGGAUGGGACCAAUCCCCCACCUCAGAUGAGGCCCAAAAGCAGCAGAACCUGGCCCAAAGCUGGCUCUCUUGGGAGCUGGGGGAAAACCAAACUUGUAUUGAAUACUCGUGGGGCUUGCAACUGAAAAAUUGUAACCAAAAUAUUUCCCAGUCAUUUUGGGAAUGAGCUCUCUGUUACUGCUGUCAUCUGACUGCACUGGGAAGUACCUUCUGGUGUGGGGUUUAAAAUGUCAGAGACAUGCCAAGAUAUUUUCUCUACAAUACAAAGAUCAGGGGAAAGGCUUGUGGUUUUUUUGGUUUUUGUUUGUUUGUUUUUUGUUUUUUUUUUUUAUUUAGAUACCUUUGUUUUAUUCUGUAUUUCUGAUUCUUUAUUUGUGUUUGAAGUCAAAGCAUAGUCAGUCAUUCUUUUUGCACUGUGCUAUUCUGGUAGCUGCAAAGAUAUUUUCCGUGUCCUCGAUGGCAAGACCUCUAUCGUAUAAUUGCAGGAGUAUUGACUGGCUACUCUAAUGGCUUUUUACAUCUCCAGUUGGAAAAUCUUUAGCCUUGUUAUUUAAAUUUUAAGAAGAGAAACCAAUAUUGUUACAAGAAGCUGAUGUCUCCUGUCACUUCCCCAGUGACCUUUCAUGAGGUGAUAAAGGUUUCUAUAGUGACCCGAGGAAAUGAUGUCUCAGGUAUCAGCGUGAAUUAAAAGUCUGUGGCAGGAAAAGCUUUCUUUUCUCUGUCUCUCAGGUAUCCAAUUCUGCUUUGUCUUUAUUCCAGUGGCUGGGCAUGGAGAAGGACUCAUAAAACAUCCAGUAUUUGGUUACAGGGCUGUCUUUAGAGGCUUCACAAUGUUGUAGGGAAGGAAAAGCAGCCAUGGCAAAGCAGAGGUGGGUUUUUACAGGCUGUGUCCAUGGCACCACUGAAUUCUGUACCUGUGGGAUCAGCCAGUUCUUUCCACCAGCCUCAGGAGCUGUGUUUGCCUCUCUAGAACCAGGAAUUGUCACUGACUGCAGACUCAGCUUUGACAGAGGUGUUUAUGUUCCUCGAUUCAGACCUUGUGUAAACCUACCUUUAAUUCUGAAAGUGAAAGCUCUGGUUAGUGAGAGUGGCUGCAUUUUGUAGGUAAAAGUUGAACUUGAUCUGGGAAAUAAUUAACUGAGGGCCUGCAGAGUGCUUUGAGGUAUUUUUAUUUGGUUGUUGUCUUUUGGUUUGGUUUUAUUUUAAAGGCACAAGGAUGCAUUUGUGCCUUCUUGUGCUGCUGGGUGAAACAACCUGUUAUCAAUGUCUUCCAGUUUAUCUACCCUGAUGGGAGACGCCUAAAAAAGCCUCGGAGAAACCUGCAGCGUUUUCAGCUUGAGUUUCCCAUUGAUGUCCUCCGAAGUGAAGGAAAGCUGAGAAAUCUCUGUGCUGUCUGUGCUGGCAGGGUUGAAAUCAAGGCUGGCCCUGGUCCCUGGUGCUCUGAGCUGUCAGACAAUUUCCCAUCACUUUGCUCCCCAAGCCCUGGGCCAGCAGAGGCAGAGCAAGGCCAGCCCUGAGCUCUCACCUCCUCUGCCUGGUGCUUGUAUUUGCACUUUUUUCAUGUCAAACUGAAGGAAAAAUCCUCCCCACGCCUUUUCCUAGCACAGCUCUCAGCUUCCUCCUCCCAAAGUGUGGCUGCACUUCCUGCCAUAAUUAAUUACUGGCCAUAAUUCAUGAUUCCAUCAGCAAUAUCAGUACAUCAGCUAUCAUUUUAUCAGUGUUUGCACUGGAGCUGUGCUGCUGGACUCCCCACCUGCAGAAGGUGCCUCACAAGGAUAUGGUGAGCAUGGGAAUAACUUGGAUACCUCAGUGAUGAGCCAGAUGCAAAUUCCCAGAUAGAUCCUGGAGAUAGUCACAUCUCCUGAUGGCCCAGAGGAAAAUCUGAAAGAACAGGAAUGCAUAAAGCUCCGCUGCAUAAUGCAUGGCAGUCAUAAUUAAUAGAUUACAGUUCUUUGUGAAACAUGCUUUUUUAUUCUAAUAAAGGGAAGGGACUACAAAUGGUGACACAGUUUGAACAGAGCAGCAAUGGGAGAUGCCAUGUUAGAGUUGUAAAGCUAAAGAGGUGAUAAAAAUGUACCUCGGGUUUAAAUUUUUACAAGGCUGAUGUAAGACUUAUUACCUUAAAUAGCAGCACUUUUCCUUGUCUCUGGGCACGCUGGAUCCUUCUGGCUCUCAAAGUACAUGAAAUUGCUGGGGCAUUAUUAAAAACUUGCUGCUCAGUUCUGCCUAAAAAGUUCAGGAUUCAUCCUUUGAAUCACUUUGCCUUAACAAUGUUAAAUUUUGCUUUUGUUGUAAAAUCAUGCAGAUCAGCCAUUGAUAGAACUUUAAUUGGCUGGGGAUGCUCAUGAUUUUUUUCCUUUAAAAAAAAAAAAAGCCUGCCAGCAAAAUUGCUUUUUGGUGAUGACUCUGCUUGAAAAGUGCUCUGCAGGGGCCCAUUCCCAAUUGAUUAUCUUUCACAGCUAAUAGCUUCAAAGGCUAUUUGGUGGACAGUCCAGUUUUACAUUUAAAUGUAAAUCUCGAUAGCCUUGACAGACUGAUGGUCAGAAAAAAGAAAGGUAAAACCAGUAAAAUGGAUGUACAGCUGCUAUAACUUUCACCAGCUCCUCCAGGGGCAACUGCAGUGAAAUUUAAAUGGUUGCAGUCUCACAAAGCUCUUGGGAGGGGAUGGAGGGUGGGAAUUCCCUGGGAUGCAGCAUUAAUAAGGUGCCGAGUGGCCUGGCAACCCUAAAAGUUCAGUGUGGUGUCAGUGGCUCCCAUUUGUGCUGCCUCUGGGGUCAGGAGGGGAGUUCAGAGCUCUGGAGCCACCUGGGCAAAGGCAGACCUUGGAUGGAGCCAGGGCAGGGGACACACCAGGGAUGGCUCAGUCCUGCUGGCCUGGCCAUGGCAGAGGUGCCACAGCCCCUGGGACCAGGGGGCUGCCUGAGUGCAAUCUGAAUUCUCACAGCCCUUAAAUCCCACAUCACUGGGUUGGAAGAGACCUCCAGGAUCAUCCAGCCCAGCCCCAGCACCUCAGGCAGACCCUGGCACCCAGUGCCACACCCAGGCUGUUUACAAACUCAGGGAUGGUGACUCCACCACCUCCCUGGGCAGCCAUUCCAGAACUUUCACUUUUCUGGAAAAAACCUUUUCCUAACAUCCAAAAUUUCCUAAUAUCCAACCUAAAUUUCCCUUAGCAUAGCUUCAGACUCACCGGAGUGACUGCUAACCCUAACUCUCAUCCUGCCUGGCAGAAAGGGGGACAGGGAGCUCCUCAGCCCCCCGACACCUCAGCAGCUCUGAGGAGGGGCCUUUUUCCUCAUUUUUGAUCUUUGUUGCCAUGGAAACAGAGCACGGACACUCACUGCUCCUUCCCCCUGCCUGCUCCUCAGGGCCAAACAAGUCCAGAAUUUUCCAGGCUCCCAAAGGAAGGGAAAAUGAGGGAGAGGAAGGGAGAAUGGUCAGUGUAGAGCCCAUGGAGAAACUGGAGAUCAAGGAGGGAAUGUCUAAGGAAAAGAGAAAAGUGGUUCAGGGGUACCCGGGGAUGGGGAGGUGUUUGUCUUGGGAAAACACCCCUUGUCCCCUACUGCCAUUUUCCUAUGGAUUUCUGGAAUCUUCUGCAUAAAGUAAGAAAACGAGAGAAUGCUUUUGUUUAAAUGAAGUUUAAAUUCCACUCCAGUGGCACAAUAUUCCUGUGCAGUGGAGUAAAGGACACCUAAACAUUUUUAGUUUUUCUUCUUCAUCUUUUCUUUUUUUCUUUCCCCUCUGGAUGUUUUUUGUUGGGUUUUUGUUGUUGUUUUGGAGUGGUUUUGUUUGUUUUUCUUUGUUGUUGUUGUUUAACUUGGUUUGGGGGUUUUGGGUUUUUUUUUUGCUUUCAACUUCUACAGCUCCAUAAAUCCUCUGCACCAAAUCCCAAACUGCCUCAGGAGUGCUGUCCAGCACAUUGAUCGUGGCAAAAUGGGAUCAAACCCAGGCCAAACCCACCUGUCUUUCAUUUGUCCUUCAGGGCAGCGCCAUAAAUUAACAAUGAUGUGAAAUUGUCAGUGAAAUCAUCUCCUCCUUCCAACACCAAAUUCAUAAAAAUGCAGAGGACACGUUUAACAAAAACUGACGCUUGUUCCUCCUUCCCCUGCUAAAUUCACUGCCCCAUUUUUUAUUUAAUGAGGAUGCACAAGGCAAGAAUCAGCAGAGCUGAGGUCCCAUCAGCCACGAGGAGAGGGUUUGUGCCAGG